UACGUAGGGACCAAGCGUUGUUCGGAUUUACUGGGCGUAAAGGGCGCGUAGGCGGUGUGUCAAGUCAGUUGUGAAAUCUCCGAGCUUAACUCGGAACGGUCAACUGAUACUGUCACACUAGAGUACAGAAGGGGCAAUCGGAAUUCUUGGUGUAGCGGUGAAAUGCGUAGAUAUCAAGAGGAACACCUGAGGCGAAGGCGGGUUGCUGGGCUGAUACUGACGCUGAGGCGCGAAAGCUAGGGUAGCAAACGGG
RNAcentral lists this ribosomal RNA (253 nucleotides) under uncultured bacterium. Its description in RNAcentral is "partial 16S ribosomal RNA". It matches the Rfam family "Bacterial small subunit ribosomal RNA", at positions 524 to 776 of the family's 1533-position model. The record is from RNAcentral.